AAGCACUGGCGGGGUGCUUACACAUGCAAGUCGAACGGUGAAGCCCAGCUUGCUGGGUGGAUCAGUGGCGAACGGGUGAGUAACACGUGAGCAACCUGCCCCUGACUCUGGGAUAAGCGCUGGAAACGGCGUCUAAUACUGGAUACGAGUAGCGACCGCAUGGUCAGUUACUGGAAAGAUUUAUUGGUUGGGGAUGGGCUCGCGGCCUAUCAGCUUGUUGGUGAGGUAAUGGCUCACCAAGGCGUCGACGGGUAGCCGGCCUGAGAGGGUGACCGGCCACACUGGGACUGAGACACGGCCCAGACUCCUACGGGAGGCAGCAGUGGGGAAUAUUGCACAAUGGGCGCAAGCCUGAUGCAGCAACGCCGCGUGAGGGAUGACGGCCUUCGGGUUGUAAACCUCUUUUAGCAGGGAAGAAGCGAAAGUGACGGUACCUGCAGAAAAAGCGCCGGCUAACUACGUGCCAGCAGCCGCGGUAAUACGUAGGGCGCAAGCGUUAUCCGGAAUUAUUGGGCGUAAAGAGCUCGUAGGCGGUUUGUCGCGUCUGCUGUGAAAUCCGGAGGCUCAACCUCCGGCCUGCAGUGGGUACGGGCAGACUAGAGUGCGGUAGGGGAGAUUGGAAUUCCUGGUGUAGCGGUGGAAUGCGCAGAUAUCAGGAGGAACACCGAUGGCGAAGGCAGAUCUCUGGGCCGUAACUGACGCUGAGGAGCGAAAGGGUGGGGAGCAAACAGGCUUAGAUACCCUGGUAGUCCACCCCGUAAACGUUGGGAACUAGUUGUGGGGUCCAUUCCACGGAUUCCGUGACGCAGCUAACGCAUUAAGUUCCCCGCCUGGGGAGUACGGCCGCAAGGCUAAAACUCAAAGGAAUUGACGGGGACCCGCACAAGCGGCGGAGCAUGCGGAUUAAUUCGAUGCAACGCGAAGAACCUUACCAAA
This 936-nucleotide ribosomal RNA is filed under the name Microbacterium sp. HBUM178418. RNAcentral describes it as "bacterial SSU rRNA". It matches the Rfam family "Bacterial small subunit ribosomal RNA", at positions 31 to 978 of the family's 1533-position model. Lineage: Bacteria; Bacillati; Actinomycetota; Actinomycetes; Micrococcales; Microbacteriaceae. The record is from RNAcentral.